AGAGUUUUGAUCCUGGCUCAGAUUGAACGCUGGCGGCAUGCCUUACACUUGCAAGUCGAACGGUAACGGGCCUUCGGGUGCCGACGAGUGGCGAACGGGUGAGUAAUGCAUCGGAACGUACCUUUCAGUGGGGAUAACGUAGCGAAAGUUACGCUAAUACCGCAUAUUCUGUGAGCAGGAAAGCAGGGGAUCACAAGACCUUGCGCUGAUUGAGCGGCCGAUGUCAGAUUAGCUAGUUGGUGAGGUAAAGGCUCACCAAGGCGACGAUCUGUAGCGGGUCUGAGAGGAUGAUCCGCCACACUGGAACUGAGACACGGUCCAGACUCCUACGGGAGGCAGCAGUGGGGAAUUUUGGACAAUGGGGCAACCCUGAUCCAGCCAUGCCGCGUGAGUGAAGAAGGCCUUCGGGUUGUAAAGCUCUUUCGGCCGGGAAGAAAUCGCAUGGGUUAAUACCCUGUGCGGAUGACGGUACCGGCAUAAGAAGCACCGGCUAACUACGUG
This 501-nucleotide ribosomal RNA is filed under the name uncultured bacterium. RNAcentral describes it as "bacterial SSU rRNA". It matches the Rfam family "Bacterial small subunit ribosomal RNA", at positions 8 to 507 of the family's 1533-position model. The record is from RNAcentral.